This 541-nucleotide ribosomal RNA is filed under the name Microbacterium sp. RNAcentral describes it as "bacterial SSU rRNA". It matches the Rfam family "Bacterial small subunit ribosomal RNA", at positions 97 to 651 of the family's 1533-position model. Lineage: Bacteria; Bacillati; Actinomycetota; Actinomycetes; Micrococcales; Microbacteriaceae. The record is from RNAcentral.
GGCGAACGGGUGAGUAACACGUGAGCAACCUGCCCCUGACUCUGGGAUAAGCGCUGGAAACGGCGUCUAAUACUGGAUACGAACAAGAAUCGCAUGGUUACUUGUUGGAAAGAUUUUUCGGUUGGGGAUGGGCUCGCGGCCUAUCAGCUUGUUGGUGAGGUAAUGGCUCACCAAGGCGUCGACGGGUAGCCGGCCUGAGAGGGUGACCGGCCACACUGGGACUGAGACACGGCCCAGACUCCUACGGGAGGCAGCAGUGGGGAAUAUUGCACAAUGGGCGCAAGCCUGAUGCAGCAACGCCGCGUGAGGGAUGACGGCCUUCGGGUUGUAAACCUCUUUUAGCAGGGAAGAAGCGAGAGUGACGGUACCUGCAGAAAAAGCACCGGCUAACUACGUGCCAGCAGCCGCGGUAAUACGUAGGGUGCAAGCGUUAUCCGGAAUUAUUGGGCGUAAAGAGCUCGUAGGCGGUUUGUCGCGUCUGCUGUGAAAUCUGGGGGCUCAACCCCCAGCCUGCAGUGGGUACGGGCAGACUAGAGUGCGG